GGUGUCCUACGGGACGCAGCAGUGAGGAAUAUUGGUCAAUGGGCUUACGCCUGAACCAGCCACGUCGCGUGAGGGAAGACCGCCCUAUGGGUUGUAAACCUCUUUUGUCAGGGAGCAACGCCGGCUACGUGUAGCCGGACUGAGAGUACCUGAAGAAAAAGCAUCGGCUAACUCCGUGCCAGCAGCCGCGGUAAUACGGAGGAUGCGAGCGUUAUCCGGAUUUAUUGGGUUUAAAGGGUGCGUAGGCGGAAUGCCAAGUCAGCGGUAAAAUCGCGGGGCUCAACGCCGUACAGCCGUUGAAACUG
This 305-nucleotide ribosomal RNA is filed under the name uncultured bacterium. Its description in RNAcentral is "bacterial SSU rRNA". It matches the Rfam family "Bacterial small subunit ribosomal RNA", at positions 333 to 635 of the family's 1533-position model. The record is from RNAcentral.